GACGAACGCUGGCGGCGUGCUUAACACAUGCAAGUCGAACGGAAAGGCCCUGCUUGCAGUGUACUCGAGUGGCGAGCGGGUGAGUAACACGUGGGUGAUCUGCCUUGCACUUCGGGAUAAGCCUGGGAAACUGGCUCUAAUACCGGAUAGGAGCCAUUUGUAGUGUGAUGGUUGGAAAGUUUUGUCGGUGUAGGAUGAGCUCGCGGCCUAUCAGCUUGUUGGUGGGGUAAUGGCCUACCAAGGCGGCGACGGGUAGCCGGCCUGAGAGGGUGGACGGCCACAAUGGGACUGGGAUACGGCCCAGACUCCUACGGGAGGCAACAGUGGGGAAUAUUGCACAAAGGGGGCAAGCCCGAUGCAACGACGCCGCGGGGGGGAAGACCGGCUUCGGGUUGUAAACGCCUUUCGCUAGGGACGAAGCUUAUUGUGACGGUACCUAGAGAAGAAGCACCGGCUAACUACGUG
Molecule: ribosomal RNA, 465 nt
Filed under: uncultured bacterium
Lineage: Bacteria
Description: partial 16S ribosomal RNA
Rfam family: Bacterial small subunit ribosomal RNA
Source: RNAcentral